ACGCAAGCCCUCCAGCAAGGUGCAGACCGGAGUCUGUGCCUCGUUCCCUGGGGCGAUAGCUACUGCUGGAGGGUUUUGCAUUAUCCGUAUCUGGAUAACACGUCCCCCAGCUAUACCU
This 118-nucleotide small nucleolar RNA is filed under the name Giardia duodenalis ATCC 50581. RNAcentral describes it as "Giardia intestinalis ATCC 50581 sRNA H/ACA-box". It matches the Rfam family "Small nucleolar RNA GlsR22", at positions 34 to 150 of the family's 150-position model. The record is from RNAcentral. Lineage: Eukaryota; Fornicata; Diplomonadida; Hexamitidae.